This 315-nucleotide long non-coding RNA is filed under the name Pan troglodytes (chimpanzee). RNAcentral describes it as "long non-coding RNA NONPTRT006202". The record is from RNAcentral. Lineage: Eukaryota; Metazoa; Chordata; Mammalia; Primates; Hominidae.
CCCCUCUUCAGUCCAGGCCCGGCUUCCGCCCGGUCUGCCGGCAACGCUGCGGCCCCGCCCACGUCAUGGCGCCCGAGGAGAACGCAGGGACCGAACUCUUGCUGCAGAGUUUCGAGCGCCGCUUCCUGGCGGCGCGCACACUGCGCUCCUUCCCCUGGCAGAGCUUAGAAGCAAAGUUAAGAGACUCAUCAGAUUCCGAGCUGCUGCGGGAUAUUUUGCACAAGACUGUGAAGCAUCCUGUGUGUGUGAAGCACCCGCCGUCCGUCAAAUAUGCCCGGUGCUUUCUCUCAGAACUCAUCAAAAAGGUCAGUUAUG